Molecule: ribosomal RNA, 500 nt
Filed under: uncultured bacterium
Lineage: Bacteria
Description: bacterial SSU rRNA
Rfam family: Bacterial small subunit ribosomal RNA
Source: RNAcentral
AGUGAACGCUGGCGGCAGGCCUAAUACAUGCAAGUCGAACGGCAGCACAGCAGAGCUUGCUCUGUGGGUGGCGAGUGGCGGACGGGUGAGGAAUACAUGGGAAUCUGCCCAGUCGUGGGGGAUAACGUAGGGAAACUUACGCUAAUACCGCAUGCGCCCUUCGGGGGAAAGCCGGGGACCUUCGGGCCUGGCGCGAUUGGAUGAGCCCAUGUCGGAUUAGCUAGUUGGCGGGUAAAGGCCCACCAAGGCGACGAUCCGUAGCUGGUCUGAGAGGAUGAUCAGCCACACUGGAACUGAGACACGGUCCAGACUCCUACGGGAGGCAGCAGUAGGGAAUAUUGGACAAUGGGCGCAAGCCUGAUCCAGCCAUGCCGCGUGAGUGAAGAAGGCCCUCGGGUUGUAAAGCUCUUUUGUCCGGAAAGAAAAGCGCCGGGUUAAUACCCUGGUGUCCUGACGGUACCGGAAGAAUAAGCACCGGCUAACUCGUGCCAGCAGCCGAC